GUCUGCAGGAGAGGUGUGUGUGUGAGAGAGAGUCGUGUGUACUGAGUGGAGGUGAGCACUUUCAGAAAGCACCCCUCUAUCAUUUGCCUUGAUGCCUGCAUUUCCCUGUUUGAAAGCAGUGGGGAUCUCAUCACGCAGCUCUGAAAAUGGGCACCAGAAAAACAAAACCAAAGUUCUCAGGGUGGGUAGGGCUCUUCCUUUCCGAGCACUGGCCAUUCUGGCAAGCGUUCUCCUUCAUGCUCUUGGGUUCUACCACAGCACUGCUCUGAAAGCUCUCUUCUUUCUUAGUGUUUCCUCAUAAUGACCCUAAACAGUGUGUCAGGGCAGUCUGUACCUCAUUAGGUGCAGAUCAGGGACCAUAGAUGCCAAACGGGCCCCUGAGCCACCACAUAACUUAACUAGCUGGAAGGUGCCAAGACUGUCAGUUAUCUCCCCUGGAAGAGCCUUCUCCAAUCUCCCCAUGGGCUCGGCCUCCCCUCCAUGGCCAUGGUUAGGUUGGGUCUGCAGUACCUUCUAGAACAAACUUCUCAUUUCUGUUUAAGUGCCUAAGCAAGUUACAGACCUCUGGAACCUGCCUGAGAGUUGGCCUGUGCCCUGUCCUUCCCACCAUGCACCCCGCCCCAGGACAGGUGUUAUGCACAUCCCCACUCCCCAACCCAGUGUCCCUGCCAUUCUGCAGGCAGAAUGGUCACAAGGGCAAGCAUGGGGAGAAGGCUGGCUUUGUCACUGUUUCCCGUGUUCUUUCUGUUGGUGUGACUGUGGUCUUGGGUCAGAGGGAGUUUUAAGGAAUCUACUUAGCUAGAGCUCGGUAGCUACUGAGCAGAAGAGCAGGAGUGAGACAGCCUCUGAGCAGAGUCCUAUCUGUCAGCACUUAGGGCCGUUUCCAGCUCUGAGAGGGCCAGCAGGCAGGGGUCAUGACUGAUAAACCUGUGUGCACUGGAGCCCUGACCGCAUGCAUCCACAGCCCAGAUACCAAGGAGCUGAAGGCCAUCAGCAGUAGAGUAAGAGCCAAUGUGCAUUUUUUAAAGUGAGUGAGAGACUUUCUUUUGGGGAAUAGUUUAAGUGUAAGCUAGAUCUGGGCCCUAUUUACAUGGGGUAUAGGACAGGUCGUUGACUGUGCUGUGCUUGGUUGGUUACAACGGUAACAGGAAGGAAGAAUCCAUUCCACAGGCACCUUAUUUCCAUUGAUGCAGGAUUUUUGUUCAGGCAGUGGAGGAGCAAACCCUGGGCAUUUGCAUGUAACAGGUGCAGAUGGCCCUGCCUCACCUAGAGAGGGGAAAGCAGUGGGUGAGUGGCCAAGUGGUGGCUAAAAGGAGGCUGUGGAGCAUGCAAAACCACACUUCCUCUGAGGACUGUGUCACCCUCUAGACGCAGCGUCCAUGGUCUACCUACCAAGCACCUGUCUGGCCUGGUGUAACUGAGGAAUGUCAACUGGAUGCAAAUUAAGGGACAACAGCAUUGAGUCAGAGCGUCAGGAGGACCAGGAUUCUGGGCCCUGACUGGACUUGAACGUUCUAGCAGGAGCCGAAUGCAGUCCUGUUGAGUUCCCUGUGGGUCUGGGAACAAGCUGGCAUGGGCAGCUGGGAAGUGGAAAGCAAGCUUACGUGUUCUGACCAGACACCAGGGACCAAAUGUCUUGAGGUUGCCUGCAGGUAUUCAGCCUAAUGGCUGUGUAGGAUCCUGCCAGAUGAGUCGGGGAGGGAGCAGGGCGCCCUCCUGGCCUUGGCGGUUGUGUGUCUUAGUCUCUGUGUUUCCCUUUGGUGUCUUCUCUGGUCUCUGUCCCCAUCUUGUGUGCCAUGUGUCCCUGAGGGUGAAUCACACCUGUGUCUGAGUCUGCUGUAAGGUGUCCAGUCUACCUCAAGGGGUCAUCAUGGCAAGCUCUGUCCACAUGGAAUCCUCUGUACAUGCCACACACACUGGAAUGUAUACCACCCCACCCCCCAUAAUCUCUUGACCCCAUCUUUCCCCAUAGUCACCACAGACUCCUAGUGCAAAUUGGAUGCUGCUUUAAAUGUGAAAAAAUUUGUUCAAAAGCUAUAAAAUCUGAAUGAAAGCUAAAGCUGAACUUAUAAGCCUUGUUGCGUAUGAGCCAAAAGUGCAAAAAGCUCUAUAUAAUGAACUAACCUGCCACUCGUAUAAAUAUAAAUAUAUAUAAAUAUAUUAAAAAUCAGACUGUUCUACAAAAUUGUGUAUUUGUAUUUUUGUGUACGUACAAUUUUCUGCUAAGCAGAAGGAGGGUGUAGUAUAGGGCGCUGUGAGAAGAGAUUUGGUUUAAUCCCAUUUCUUUGUUACUUAUUUUUGUUAACAUCAGAUGCCUGUCUUCGUCUUCUCUGUGUAUGACACUGUUUGGGAAGCUGCAGUAUCCUUCUUACCUAGGCCAGAGUCUGUGAUAAUAAAGCUGGGGCACAGGGAGGUAGGUGUAUGGCCACCACCUAACUGAAAGGGGGGCAGGCUUGCACCCCCGAGGCCAGGCAUAGUAUAGCAUUCUGACUUGUCUCUGGGAAGCAAACUCCCUUUUUAGAAACCAGUUUCCCAGAUAAGAUCACUGGGUACCCAGACCCAGGGAGCAAGGGGAGUCUUCUCUCCAUUGCCCAGGUGACUUUCCUAGCAUAGCUCCCAGCCCCCUGGCUACCACUGGGCCAUGUCUCCCAGGUAGCUGCUGCCUUUUUGGACAGGGUUACCAGAUGCCUCCCCUACCAGAGCUGUCACCAGAGGUCCAAUUCUUUACCUGGAGCAUCUCAGAACCCACUUUGCCGGUGCUAAACAGGAGAGGGGUUAGAGUGGCUGCCAAUAAUGGCCAGAACCAGCCCACCAGAGGCCAAGACAAGCUUGGGUGCCCACCGCUGCCCACACCCUCCCAGCCCCCUCCUGGCCCCUGGUGGAGCCUGCUCUAGGGAAUGAUACUGCACCUUCCCAGUAGGACUCAGAUUCUAACAAUGUGUGAUGACUGUAGCAAGAAGCCCUUGUUUCUCGAUGUAAAUGGUCAAAGAAACAAGUGCUCUACUGUAUUGAUUAAAUAGUUCCAAUGAGUCCUGUUUCAUUGUAUCUCCUAUUCUGGAUUAGUGCCUUUUGGACAGUAGACUGUUCUGUAAUUAAAAUGUAGUAUACUGCUUUUUUGUACAGUUUUGUUUUAACAAAACUUUUUUUUAAUUUGUGUUUAUUUUAGUAUUGUAUCUAUUAGAGAAUAAAAUGUAUAACUGAGCAAA
Molecule: long non-coding RNA, 3206 nt
Filed under: Rattus norvegicus (Norway rat)
Lineage: Eukaryota; Metazoa; Chordata; Mammalia; Rodentia; Muridae
Description: long non-coding RNA NONRATT011022
Source: RNAcentral